GUCCACUGUAACGUAUUAUUAGUCAUUGUAGGUUUACUUAGGCUUACAGAAUGCAAAAACUUAUUGCCGUUUUAAUUUUUGUGCAAAUAUCAAUAGUACUUUCCCAAUUUGGCUGUGAUACAGUGAUCUGUAAAAGUCCUUUAGUAUGCAGGAAUAACUUAAACUCCUGUAGAAAUCAAUGCUCGUAUUAUCAUGGUUCAUUGGUUUGCACCCAAGAUAAUAGAAUUGACUGCUACUGUCGCGUUGGAUAUUGCAAUAAUGGUCAAGGAAAAUGUGUGCAAAUAUAGUAAAGUGUGAAGUGUGAUUUCAUGAAAAAAAUUUGUUGUUGUGUUAAUUCAUGCCUUUGAGAUCUACUAAUAGAAAAUAGAAAUUUUAAUUUAAAAAAAUGCA
This is a long non-coding RNA of Anthonomus grandis grandis, 390 nucleotides long. RefSeq lists it as uncharacterized. The record is from RefSeq and is a predicted model, not a curated record. NCBI's taxonomy places the organism in Eukaryota, Metazoa, Arthropoda, Insecta, Coleoptera, Curculionidae. The transcript has 2 exons.